Molecule: long non-coding RNA, 282 nt
Filed under: Setaria viridis
Lineage: Eukaryota; Viridiplantae; Streptophyta; Magnoliopsida; Poales; Poaceae
Description: long non-coding RNA (SVIR_LNC008183)
Source: RNAcentral
GUUUGAGAGCACCAAAGAUCGUCCAAAAACAUAUCAAAAACUGAAUUUUCAGAGCGCGAAAACCUCGAAAUCGCUUUGCCCUUAGUAAAGAAAAAAAAAAUCCUCGAAAUCACGUUAUUAGAGCAACUCCAAGAGAUCCCUUAAAUUACCCCUAAUAACUUAAUUAGGAAGAAAAAGAAAAAAAACCCUCUCCAACAGCUCCCCUAAAGCUGCCGUAUAUUUUCGCAGACCCGAAUCGGGACUCCCACGCCCCGCAUAUUUUCGCGAGUUCCUCACUUCCCC